CCUACGGGCGGCAGCAGUGAGGAAUAUUGGUCAAUGGGCGCGAGCCUGAACCAGCCAAGUAGCGUGAAGGAUGACUGCCCUACGGGUUGUAACCUUCUUUUAUAAAGGACUAAAGUGCGGCACGUGUGCCUUUUUGUAUGUACUUUAUGAAUAAGGAUCGUCUAACUCCGUGCAGGCGGCCGCGUUACUACGGAGGUGCCAGCCUUUAUCAGGUUUUAUUGGUUUUAAAGGGAGCGUAGAUGGGUUGUUAAGUCAGUUGUGAAAGUUUGCGGCUAAAAGGUAAAAUUGCAAUUGAUACUGGCAGGCUUGAGUACAGUUGAGGUAGGCGGAAUUCGUGGUGUAGCGGUGAAAUGCUUAGAUAUCACGAAGAACUCCGAUUGCGAAGGCAGCUUACUAAACUGCGACUGACACUGAUGCUCGAAAGUGUGGGUAUCAAACAGGAUUAGAUACCCCAGUAGUC
This 460-nucleotide ribosomal RNA is filed under the name uncultured bacterium. Its description in RNAcentral is "partial 16S ribosomal RNA". It matches the Rfam family "Bacterial small subunit ribosomal RNA", at positions 338 to 795 of the family's 1533-position model. The record is from RNAcentral.